RNAcentral lists this long non-coding RNA (349 nucleotides) under Callithrix jacchus (white-tufted-ear marmoset). RNAcentral describes it as "lncRNA (ENSCJAG00000082860.1)". The record is from RNAcentral. Lineage: Eukaryota; Metazoa; Chordata; Mammalia; Primates; Cebidae.
AGUUUGCUUUUAUUAAUCAAGAACUUCCCCAGGUGAAUAUGAGAUGAGAUUCAGACUCCACUUUGUGCCAUGCUACUCUGCUUCCCUAUAAGAAACAGUAAACACCAUGAUUAAAACCAAGGAACUAUGCACAAGAUAUCUUUCAGCUUAUUUUUUAUCUUCAGGUUUCACAAUUAAAAGGUAAAGAGGACUUCCAAACAUUUGUCACUCCAGGAAUAUGAACGUUUCAGAAGUUACAACCCUGGAAGUGAUCAGUUGCUGCCUGUUAACAAACCAUUCCCCCAGUUGCAUACCUGGGAUGAAAAUGAUGGCUGACUUGUUGGUUGAAUCCAUGGAUGUGGGAGCUGAG